Leguminivora glycinivorella is the source of this 306-nucleotide long non-coding RNA. RefSeq lists it as uncharacterized. The record is from RefSeq and is a predicted model, not a curated record. The transcript is spliced from 3 exons. NCBI's taxonomy places the organism in Eukaryota, Metazoa, Arthropoda, Insecta, Lepidoptera, Tortricidae.
CGCUUUAGCUCCGGGAAUACCUCCAUGAGGACCAGCUCGAACAGCUCCUGAAACAAGACGAACGAACAGGCGAACGACACAGAUGACUGCCCCGAUACUCGCAGGAAUCAAUUUAUCAGAGUAAACGACAGAUUCAGUGGAGCGCGCGUUUUUAGCACCGAGCCAACAAGACAUGCCAACGUUCAAAAGCAUUCCUCUUCCUGAACCAAAUCAAAAGGCGUUUCAAGUCUGAGGGGCAGGCCUCCACGCAAAUGCUGGCAGACGAGAUGUACCGCUACAGUGAGGACCACAGCACUAUCGUCAUCC